This 467-nucleotide ribosomal RNA is filed under the name uncultured bacterium. RNAcentral's name for it is "partial 16S ribosomal RNA". It matches the Rfam family "Bacterial small subunit ribosomal RNA", at positions 28 to 506 of the family's 1533-position model. The record is from RNAcentral.
GACGAACGCUGGCGGCGUGCUUAACACAUGCAAGUCGAACGGAAAGGCCCUGCUUUUGUGGGGUGCUCGAGUGGCGAACGGGUGAGUAACACGUGAGUAACCUGCCCUUGACUUUGGGAUAACUUCAGGAAACUGGGGCUAAUACCGGAUAGGAGCUCCUGCUGCAUGGUGGGGGUUGGAAAGUUUCGGCGGUUGGGGAUGGACUCGCGGCUUAUCAGCUUGUUGGUGGGGUAGUGGCUUACCAAGGCUUUGACGGGUAGCCGGCCUGAGAGGGUGACCGGCCACAUUGGGACUGAGAUACGGCCCAGACUCCUACGGGAGGCAGCAGUGGGGAAUAUUGCACAAGGGGCGGAAGCCGGAUGCAGCAACGCCGCGUGCGGGAUGACGGCCUUCGGGUUGUAAACCGCUUUCGCCUGUGACGAAGCGUGAGUGACGGUAAUGGGUAAAGAAGCACCGGCUAACUACGU